CUUGGCGUCGAUGGAGGUGAAUAAGCCACAUUACACUUCCUUGGCAGUGGUUCUCCGCAAAGGAGUGGAUUUCCGAUGUAGCUACUCCAUUCAAAAGUUGCGAAUUGAGCUACUCUCUGAGGCGUCCUUCCACUCAAGUUAUUGUAGGACAGGUUGAAAACAGCCAAGGAGUAUAGCUCUGUAAGUUGAGAGGGGAUUUUCCCAUUGAGGUGGUUGUAGGACAGAUCCAAGCUUUCAAUGCUUUUCAAGUUUGAAAAUGUCACAGGGAUUGUACCGGUGAAGUUAUUGUGGGACAAGUUCAAC
Rhododendron vialii is the source of this 303-nucleotide long non-coding RNA. RefSeq lists it as uncharacterized. Lineage: Eukaryota; Viridiplantae; Streptophyta; Magnoliopsida; Ericales; Ericaceae. The transcript is spliced from 2 exons. The record is from RefSeq and is a predicted model, not a curated record.